Syngnathoides biaculeatus (alligator pipefish) is the source of this 4067-nucleotide long non-coding RNA. RefSeq lists it as uncharacterized. The record is from RefSeq and is a predicted model, not a curated record. The transcript is spliced from 5 exons. NCBI's taxonomy places the organism in Eukaryota, Metazoa, Chordata, Actinopteri, Syngnathiformes, Syngnathidae.
GCGAUCGAACCAUAUUAAAAAAAUUAUUCGCUUUUGGCAGAGUAGCAUGAAUUAUGUUCCCGCGAAUAUUAUGUUACUUUAAACACUGAGUUAAUGUUACUACCGUGCUUACGUUUGGAUAUUCAUUAUUUGAAAGUCCCGUGUAUUUUAAACGGUAACUUUUGUCAGGUGCUGGUUUGGCGUAUGGAGUCUCGGUCAAUGAUUGACUAAAAUACACAAAGUAUGGAAUUCCUUAUUUUGUGUUUAGCUCUACAAAAACUUCCAAACGGAGUCUAAAUAAGCACUACAAGGUCGAAAAAGUUGCACUCGUUUUGAGGAAUUGAACUAAAAAGCUUCAAGCGUGACUCUUGGGUGUGGAACAAAAUGGCAGUUCACGUUUGGUAAUUCUUCCGGGGCCGGAAAAGCUCUCGCCGAGUCGGCGGCGGAGGUCCAAUCGGCUUUGUGCUCCUCUCCCGACAGCAGAGUUACAGUUGGCUUUAGGUGAGAGGCGGGGGAACAACUGGCCGCCGGCCAAUCGCAGACAAUUUCCAAAAUGCGAGGGACAUCGGCAGGCUGAAAUCAACGUACCGACCUGCAUCCUGAUUGUGGUUUUGUUGAGGGCAAAGCAAGAGGCUGCAUGGAGACGCGUUGAACGAUCCCACAGACGUCGCAAAUGUCACUGAAGCUGCUGCUCGCGACUUGAAUGACUGAAUCUUCAAAGGAGUUGCAGAGAAUCUGCUAGAACGUCAGUUCUAGCCAGUCUUCCUAACCCUAACCACAGACCACAUGGCACCAGAGCACCUCAGAACCUUCGCAUCCAGCAUCUGAUACCAGCCACUCAGACGGCGGUUGCAACAAACCACUUGGAUAAGCAAAGCAUUUUCACCUCAGUGAAAUCCGUUUGCACGCUCAUCGUCCUCAACGGGUUCUCGACCUGAGUUCGGUUCCUCGUUGUCACCGACUUGAGUGGGCAGGUAUUCACAUUUGCCGAUGAUAACCACUUUGGAUUAUAAUGAACGUGUAGCUGCAUAUUGCGAGGAGCCGUACUCAGUUGAAAACGUCCCAGUUCUUGCACGACCAGCAUGCACGCAGAACGUCACCCGUGAUACGACAGCGUAUACAUGCCAAUAUCGGGCAACUUGGCACAGCCGCUGAAGAGGAGCAGGCCAACAUCCCCGAGUGCCACGAUCGACGACCAGGUGAACUCUACGCGGUGGAGAUGCGUUGCGCUGAGUUAGGCCAAGUCGGUCAGGCUGGUUUUCUGUCUCCCUGGCAGGUGUCCAAUGUAGUCGAGUGGCCUUUUAUUGUGAGCAGCCCAAGGCAUACCCGUUCUAAUCUGCAUCUCGAUGGGCUCAGCAAAGAAGUGCUCUCCUGCGCAGAUUUUGCAAACAAGAGUCUAAAAGAACAAAGCCUUGUGCCACAUACGAGCACUCGGAAGGUCAGAAAGGCAGAAAACCAAAGUUUUGGGUUGAUAUUCUUCUUCCGUCCACGAUGUCAAACAGUCAAGUAGCGCGGUUGUUUGUUUGGUUGGAGAAAAUGUUUCACCGGAGAACGAUGAAACCAAGCGGGGACUUCUGCUGUCGCGAUGCUGCACUCUCGUUUGCGGCGUGACAGCAUGAGAACAUAACUGGAAUGCAGAGCGACAAGGCCGCGAAGGGAAAAACAGUCAGCGGCCGUUAGUAUGCGGCACCGAGCCAGCGCGCCGCCGCGGACCUUUCGCCGAAACCGUUUUCCGCGGAGCCAAAAAGAGCAGCGAAGGUAACACUGCGGCCUUUCCGAAACUGCCCCUUCUCGGUCGACAUCGGCGUCAACCCGUUUCGGGACAAAAAGGCUCGACCGUGACAUUCCCGAAACAGAAGAAGAAGAAGAAGAAGAAGGAACGUCUGCUUGAGUGGCUCAAGCGCUUAACUCUUGUGCGACUUUUAUCAGCGGCGGCCCUCUCAAGCUUGACGGCAGUAAUGAAGCCAUUAGCCACAAAAUUGACUUUGGGAUGAAUAGGGAACAUACGAGGGGUUUAAAAGGCCCAAUUUGGCAGCCGUGGUCCUUUUGUUUGAAAUUCAUAAUGACAUUUGGCCACAGACACCCUCCCCCUCCCCCUCCCCCCAUCAUCCAGUUUUCUAUCAAGUUCCGUCUUUAGUAUGCGGCAGAAUAUGAAGCGAAGCAAUUUUCUGGCUGAAAACCUUAGUGCUGCCUAAUAGCUUUCACAGGGUCUUCAAUAAAUAAUGGCAUGUUUAUAUUUAAUGCAGCGCGGUCGUGUGUUAAUCAGCGGCUGCGAGGGGAACGUUAGGACCCCGCGGCGCCGAUAUCUGACUUUUUAUUAGCGAUGUCCCCAGCAAGAGGCUUCAAUAAUUAUGAUCAAUUCUGUUUACAUUUACAUUGGAUACUUCAUGAGGUGGGGAAUUGUAACAAGAGCCAACAAGCGAACUGUGUCAAAGAUGUCGGUGUGCAGUUUCUUUCCAGGUGAACUUGCUUUGACCUCCUUGUAACUUUUCAAUGCGUGUGUGAAACUGUUAGAGGGCCACUUUUUCGUAUGUCAUUGAUGAAACAACGGCAGCCGACAUGGACCGGUGCGUUUUUUUCACCACAAAACAUGAUUUUGACGUCUGAGCCUUUUUGUAACUCCCACCAUGAAAAUCCUCUCAAGGGACUUGUUUUCGAGAAGAAGCAGGAAGUGACAUACAUGGUCAAGUGGACUCGUUUGUUUCUAUUACUUUUACCUCCAGGGAGGUCGCUCGUUGUUCCUCCGCGUUAGCCAGAAUGCCGGCUCGUUGCAUUGCUGGACAACGGAGGAUGGAUUUACCCUUCAUAAGUUUGCAAGAGACCCGCUUCGUCGCGAAAAAUGGAUUGCACGGGUGCAGAGGACGAGAGCUUCGUGGGUUCCAAAUGACAGGCGUGCGUGCGCGUCGGACGGCGUCGGGCUCACCGGCGAAGGCUGCUGCGUCGCCUCGCCAGCGAAGGAAGAACUCUGCGGAAUAAGGUCCGAUUCGCAAGAUUCACAACGGGUCUUUGAGCCAGAAAUCGACCAAGCCGGAUUCGGUUGCUGUCGGUGUUUAAACGGUCCUCUUCAUCAUGCCGUUGACAUUUUGACAUCGUGAGACCGGGACGACCUGAAGAACACCUGACCAGCAACAAGUGGCCACUCAGCUUAGAGUGUCACGUUGGGUUAUGACGAGACUGCAGCAAAUAUACAGAGAGACUGGAGGAGUCACAGAAAGGACGAUUCAUGGCUCAAUUUUGGUGUUCAGCUCCUUGCUGCUGAACAGGCUUCAACGUCUUCGAGAAGAUGCAAGCUGCACAGUCCUCUAUGGACGGGCCUUGUGGUUGACUGGCGACCAGUUCAAGGUGUUGAAAGAUAAGCAAGGUCAUCAGCGGGUAAACAUUUGCUGACAGGUUGGGGGUCCAUUUGCGGGCCUUUGACAGGUCCAGAUUUGUGUACCAGCAGCUGUACAGCAACACCGUCUCCUCAAUGUGUGACCACCAUCAGCUCGGAAACCUCUUUCCAUCUUGUCAAAAGAACACACGGCUAUGAUAACACAUCAAUAUGCCACAAAAAUGAUUGUAUCAUAAAUCUCCCAAAGUCCAAAAUGAGAUUCGUGUCUAGACACAGUCCAGAAUUCACACAAAGAAAUGCAUUCUCACCAACGGUUCCCCUUCAGAUUGGGCCAUUUCCCUUUCUUACUAAGAAUGUAUGUAAGAGUCUACAUAAUAAAAUACUGAGCAAGUGGUUCAAUGUUUGUGGUUCAAACAAUCUAUCGCAGUCCCGUCACGGGAAGAUGUCUCGGCAAACCACCGAACAAACGUGGCAUGAAAGUGAACUGCGGGUCUUUGACAGAACGGAGCUAUCGGAUAAAAUGGAUCGUCAGCAUCGUCGGACGCCUCUCUAUUAACUUUGACAAUUCUAAAUAUUUCUGUUAGUCGUGAUUGCUCGAAAUUCUUGGGGUAUGCUUAGAGAGGAUGAGAGUGUUCUGGUUGAAAGAUAAAACGGUUAAUAGGUUGUCUCUGGUAGCUCACGUCGUGAAUAGAGAGAAGCAAGAAAUCGCAAUCAAAUGUCGUCGUGCGCGACAGGGCCGGUUUUGUGCCUCUCCUGC